CGGAACACGUACACAACCUUCCUUUAAGCGGGGGAUAGCCCAGAGAAAUUUGGAUUAAUACCCCAUAGAAUGAUGAUGAGGCAUCUUAUUAUCAUUAAAGAUUUAUCACUUGAAGAUGGGUGUGCGUCUGAUUAGGUAGUUGGCGGGGUAACGGCCCACCAAGCCAUCGAUCAGUAACUGGUGUGAGAGCACGACCAGUCACACGGGCACUGAGACACGGGCCCG
RNAcentral lists this ribosomal RNA (225 nucleotides) under uncultured bacterium. RNAcentral describes it as "partial 16S ribosomal RNA". It matches the Rfam family "Bacterial small subunit ribosomal RNA", at positions 109 to 334 of the family's 1533-position model. The record is from RNAcentral.